GACAGAGGCCUCGAGCGUUAGGCGGAAUCACUGGGCUUAAAGCGUGUGUAGGCGGGCCCGUUAGGGUCUUGUGAAAUCCCACGGCUCAACCGUGGAACUGCUGGGCAUACUGCGGGUCUUGGGCCAACUAGGGGCAGCCGGAACAAGCGGUGGAGCGGUGAAAUGCGUAGAUAUCGCUUGGAACGCCGAAGGUGGAAACAGGCUGCUGGGGUUGCGCCGACGCUGAGACACGAAAGCCAGGGGAGCAAACGGG
This 253-nucleotide ribosomal RNA is filed under the name uncultured bacterium. RNAcentral describes it as "partial 16S ribosomal RNA". It matches the Rfam family "Bacterial small subunit ribosomal RNA", at positions 524 to 776 of the family's 1533-position model. The record is from RNAcentral.